AUGUCCUCUCCCACCCCGUAUGUCCCGUCACACCCCCGGCUGUCCCCUCACACACCCCGGAUAUCCUCACACAGGCUGUCCCCUCACACCCCGGAUGUCCCCUCACACCCCCAGCUGUCCCCUCACACACCCCGGAUAGCCUCACACCGGCUGUCUCCUCACACCGGCUGUCCCUUCACACCACGGAUGUCCCCUCACACCCCGGAUGUCCCCUCACACCCCCAGCUGUCCCCUCACACACCCCGGAUAUCCUCACACCGGCUGUCCCCUCACACCCCGGAUGUCCCCUCACACCCCCAGCUGUCCCCUCACACACCCCGGAUAUCCUCACACCGGCUGUCCCCUCACAACCGGAUGUCCCCUCACACCUACUGUCCCCUGACACCCCCGGAUGUCCCCUCACACUGGCUGUUUCCUCACAUUUGCUGUCCCCUCACACACCCCGGAUGUCCCCUCACACCGGCUGUCCCCUCACACCUGCUGUCCCCUGACACCCCCGGAUGUCCCCUCACACCGGCUGUCCCCUCACACCUGCUGUCCCCUGACACCCCCGGAUGUCCCCUCACACCCCCGGAUGUCCCCUCACAUCCUGGAUGUCCCCUCACACACCCCCGGAUGUCCCCUCACAACCGGAUGUCCCCUCAAACCUGCUGUCCCCUGACACCCCCGGAUGUCCCCUCACACCGGCUGUCCCCUCAUACCCGGAAUGUCCUCUCACACCGGCUGUCCCCUAACACCGGCUGUCCCCUCAUACCCCCGGAUGUCCCCUCACACCGGCUGUCCAUUUCCACCGGCUGUCCCCUCACACCCGGAAGUCCCCGCACACCCGGAUGUCCCCUCACACCCAGAUGUCCCGUCACACCCCGAAUGUCCCCUCACAGCCCCAGGUGUACCUUCACACACCCCCGGAUGUCCCCUCACACCCGGAUGUCCCCGCACACCCGGAUGUCCCCUCAUACCCCGGAUGUCCCCGCACACCUCGAAUGUCCCCUCACACCCGGAUGUCCCCUCAUACCCCGGAUGUCCCCUCACACCCGGAUGUCCCCGCACACCUCGGAUGUCCCCUCACACCCGGAUGUCCCCUCACACACCCCAGAUGUCCUCUCACACACCCCAGAUGUCCCCUCACACCCCGGAUGUCCCCUCACACACCCCCGGAUGUCCCCUCAUACCCCCGGAUGUCCCCUCACACCCCGGAUGUCCCCUCACACACCCCAGAUGUCCUCUCACACACCCCGGAUGUCCCCUCACACCCCGGAUGUCCCCUCACAUCCCGGAUGUCCCCUCACACACCCCCGGAUGUCCCCUCACACCCAAGAUGUCCCCUCACAUGCUGGAUGUCCCCUCACACACCCCUGGAUGUCCCCUCACACCCCAGAUGUCCCCUCACAUCCUGGAUGUCCCCUCACACACCCCCGGAUGUCCCCUCACACACCCCCGGAUGUCCCCUCACACCCAAGAUGUCCCCUCACAUGCUGGAUGUCCCCUCACACACCCCUGGAUGUCCCCUCACACCCCAGAUGUCCCCUCACAUCCUGGAUGUCCCCUCACACACCCCCGGAUGUCCCCUCACACACCCCCGGAUGUCCCCUCACACCCCCAGAUGUCCCUGAGGCGGUCUGGGCUUCGGGUUCGAUCCCUGGGUCAGGAAGAUCCCACGGAGGAGGAAAUGGCAACCCACUCCAGCAUUCUUGCCUGGAAAAUCCCAUGGCCAGAGGAGCCUAG
Molecule: long non-coding RNA, 1725 nt
Organism: Bos indicus x Bos taurus (hybrid cattle)
Lineage: Eukaryota; Metazoa; Chordata; Mammalia; Artiodactyla; Bovidae
Source: Ensembl